CAGGCCUAACACAUGCAAGUCGAACGGAACCCUUCGGGGUUUAGUGGCGGACGGGUGAGUAACGCGUGAGAAUCGGCCCUCAGGUUGGGGACAACCAUUGGAAACGGUGGCUAAUACCGAAUAAGCCGAAAGGUGAAAGAUUAAUUGCCUGGGGAAGAGCUCGCGUCUGAUUAGCUAGUUGGUGGGGUAAAGGCCUACCAAGGCACCGAUCAGUAACUGGUCUGAGAGGAUGGCCAGUCACACUGGGACUGAGACACGGCCCAGACUCCUACGGGAGGCAGCAGUGGGGAAUUUUCCGCAAUGGGCGAAAGCCUGACGGAGCAAUACCGCGUGGGGGAGGAAGGCUCUUGGGUCGUAAACCUCUUUUCUCAGGGAAGACAAAAUGACGGUACCUGAGGAAUCAGCAUCGGCUAACUCCGUGCCAGCAGCCGCGGUAAUACGGAGGAUGCAAGCGUUAUCCGGAAUGAUUGGGCGUAAAGCGUCCGCAGGUGGCAGUGUAAGUCUGCUGUCAAAGGUCAGGGCUCAACCCUGAACAGGCAGUGGAAACUACACAGCUAGAGUGCGGUGGGGGCAGAGGGAAUUCCCAGUGUAGCGGUGAAAUGCGUAGAGAUUGGGAAGAACACCGGUGGCGAAAGCGCUCUGCUAGGCCGCAACUGACACUCAUGGACGAAAGCUAGGGGAGCGAAUGGGAUUAGAUACCCCAGUAGUCCUAGCCGUAAACGAUGGAUACUAGGCGUAGCUCGUAUCGACCCGAGCUGUGCCGUAGCUAACGCGUUAAGUAUCCCGCCUGGGGAGUACGCUCGCAAGAGUGAAACUCAAAGGAAUUGACGG
This 831-nucleotide ribosomal RNA is filed under the name uncultured bacterium. Its description in RNAcentral is "bacterial SSU rRNA". It matches the Rfam family "Bacterial small subunit ribosomal RNA", at positions 43 to 916 of the family's 1533-position model. The record is from RNAcentral.